This 74-nucleotide transfer RNA is filed under the name Candidatus Liptonbacteria bacterium RIFCSPHIGHO2_01_FULL_56_18b. RNAcentral describes it as "tRNA-Lys". It matches the Rfam family "tRNA". From Rfam's summary of the family: Transfer RNA (tRNA) molecules are approximately 80 nucleotides in length. Their secondary structure includes four short double-helical elements and three loops (D, anti-codon, and T loops). RNAcentral also lists the same sequence under 1 other name. Lineage: Bacteria; Candidatus Liptoniibacteriota. The record is from RNAcentral.
CCCCCCAUAGCUUAAUGGCAAAGCACCGGUCUCUUAAACCGUGUAUCUAGGUUCGAUUCCUAGUGGGGGGACAA